RNAcentral lists this ribosomal RNA (254 nucleotides) under uncultured bacterium. RNAcentral describes it as "partial 16S ribosomal RNA". It matches the Rfam family "Bacterial small subunit ribosomal RNA", at positions 524 to 776 of the family's 1533-position model. The record is from RNAcentral.
UACGUAGGGGGCUAGCGUUGUCCGGAAUCAUUGGGCGUAAAGAGCGUGUAGGCGGCCCGGUAAGUCCGCUGUGAAAGUCCAGGGCUCAACCCUGGAAUGCCAGUGGAGACUGUCGGGCUAGAGUCCGGAAGAGGCGAGUGGAAUUCCUGGUGUAGCGGUGAAAUGCGCAGAUAUCAGGAGGAACACCAAUGGCGAAGGCAGCUCGCUGGGACGGUUACUGACGCUGAGACGCGAAAGCGUGGGGAGCAAACAGG